UUCUUUGAACGCAAGUUGCGCCCGAAGCCAUUCAGGCCGAGGGCACGCCUGCCUGGGCGUCGUAAAACCCCCUGCCCCCGGGCACCCGCGCCGCACCGGCGGGGACGUGCCCGGGCGCGGAAUGUGGCCUCCCGCGGGUUCGGCGUGCGCGUCGCGUCGAGUCGCGGUUGGUCGAAAAUCGAGCACGGCCGCGACGGGCCCCACGGCGAUCGGUGGAUCGAACGAGAUUGGCUGCGUCGUGGGCUCGGCAUGCGGAGGGCUCAGGACUUUGACGAUCCCGCAGCGCGAUCCCAGGUCAGGCGGGGCUACCCGCUGAGUUUAAGCAUAUCAAUAAGCGGAGGAAAAGAAACUAACGAGGAUUCCCUUAGUAGCGGCGAGCGAACCGGGAAGAGCCC
Molecule: ribosomal RNA, 395 nt
Filed under: Pseudodissochaeta lanceata
Lineage: Eukaryota; Viridiplantae; Streptophyta; Magnoliopsida; Myrtales; Melastomataceae
Description: eukaryotic LSU rRNA
Rfam family: Eukaryotic large subunit ribosomal RNA (bases 286-395)
Source: RNAcentral